Molecule: transfer RNA, 69 nt
Filed under: Abispa ephippium (large potter wasp)
Lineage: Eukaryota; Metazoa; Arthropoda; Insecta; Hymenoptera; Vespidae
Description: tRNA-Lys
Source: RNAcentral
CAUUAAAAAGCUUAAGUAAGCAAGAGUCUCUUAAAUUCUAGAUGGUAAAUUAACAAUUACCUUUAAUGA